AGAGACUUAGGCUAAUACACAGACCAAGGGCCUUCAAAGCCCUAAGUGAGGGUGAAAAUCCCCCAGUCCCUG
RNAcentral lists this transfer RNA (72 nucleotides) under Bathyagonus infraspinatus (spinycheek starsnout). Its description in RNAcentral is "tRNA-Trp". It matches the Rfam family "tRNA". From Rfam's summary of the family: Transfer RNA (tRNA) molecules are approximately 80 nucleotides in length. Lineage: Eukaryota; Metazoa; Chordata; Actinopteri; Perciformes; Agonidae. The record is from RNAcentral.